Macaca mulatta (Rhesus monkey) is the source of this 487-nucleotide non-coding RNA. Lineage: Eukaryota; Metazoa; Chordata; Mammalia; Primates; Cercopithecidae. The record is from RefSeq and is a predicted model, not a curated record.
GCCAGAGCCCCUUGCCAGGACUUAUGUUUUGGAGUCCUUUCCAGGGGCAGUGUUCCUCUUCAAUGUUCCAUCCUAGAUUAUUGUCUCCUUCUCUGGGCUGACCCACAUUUCUACUUUCUUUGUUCUCUUCCUGAUUCUCACAGCUGACUACCCAGAUGAGCUGCAGUGCCUGUAUGCUCCUGUGCUGACCCAGGCUGAGUGUCAAGCCUGCUACCCUGGAAGGAUUACCAGCAACAUGUUCUGUAUAGGCUUCCUUGAGGGAGGCAAGGAUUCCUGCCAGGGGGACUCUGGUGGUCCUGCAGUCUGCGACGGAGAGCUCCAAGGAAUUGUCUCCUGGGGCGAUGGCUGUGCCCAGAAGAACAAGCCUGGAGUCUACACCAAGGUCUACAACUAUUUGGCCUGGAUUAAGGAAACCAUAGCUGCAAACAGCUAAAGCCCCCGAUCCCUCUGCAGUCUCUAUACCAAUAAAGUGACCUUGUUCUCACUG